GAUGAACGCUGGCGGCGUGCCUAAUACAUGCAAGUCGAGCGAACAGAUGAGGAGCUUGCUCCUCUGACGUUAGCGGCGGAUGGGUGAGUAACACGUGGAUAACCUACCUAUAAGACUGGGAUAACUUCGGGAAACCGGAGCUAAUACCGGAUAAUAUAUUGAACCGCAUGGUUCAAUAGUGAAAGACGGUUUUGCUGUCACUUAUAGAUGGAUCCGCGCCGCAUUAGCUAGUUGGUAAGGUAACGGCUUACCAAGGCAACGAUGCGUAGCCGACCUGAGAGGGUGAUCGGCCACACUGGAACGGAGACACGGUCCAGACUCCUACGGGAGGCAGCAGUAGGGAAUCUUCCGCAAUGGGCGAAAGCCUGACGGAGCAACGCCGCGUGAGUGAUGAAGGUCUUCGGAUCGUAAAACUCUGUUAUUAGGGAAGAACAAAUGUGUAAGUAACUAUGCACGUCUUGACGGUACCUAAUCAGAAAGCCACGGCUAACUACGUG
Molecule: ribosomal RNA, 497 nt
Filed under: uncultured bacterium
Lineage: Bacteria
Description: partial 16S ribosomal RNA
Rfam family: Bacterial small subunit ribosomal RNA
Source: RNAcentral